Molecule: non-coding RNA, 115 nt
Organism: Triticum aestivum (bread wheat)
Lineage: Eukaryota; Viridiplantae; Streptophyta; Magnoliopsida; Poales; Poaceae
Source: Rfam
UACAUACUCCCUCCGUUCCUAAUUACUUGUCGCAGGUAUGGAUGUAUCUAGAUGUAUUUUAGUUCUAGAUACAUCCAUUUCUGCGACAAUUAAUUUGGAACGGAGGGAGUAAAAC